AAAUCUGGCUGUCGUGAUGCCUAAAAAGCAUUACAUAGCAAGGGCCGGGCAAGACCGGUGCCAGCCGCCGCGGUAACACCGGCGGCUCGAGUGGUAACCGUUAUUAUUGGGUCUAAAGGGUCUGUAGCCGGCCGGAUAAGUCUCUUGGGAAAUCCAGCAGCCUAACUGUUGGGCUUUCAGGAGAUACUAUUCGGCUCGAGGCCGGGAGAGGUGAGAGAUACUUCAGGGGUAGGGGUGAAAUCUUGUAAUCCUUGAAGGACCACCAGUGGCGAAGGCGUCUCACCAGAACGGACCUGACGGCAAGGGACGAAAGCUAGGGGCACGAACCGGAUUAGAUACCCGGGUAGUCCUAGCCGUAAACGAUACUCGCUAGGUGUCGGCCACGGUGCGACCGUUGUCGGUGCCGUAGGGAAGCCGUGAAGCGAGCCACCUGGGAAGUACGGCCGCAAGGCUGAAACUUAAAGGAAUUGGCGGGGGAGCACCACAACGGGUGGAGCUUGCGGUUUAAUUGGAUUCAACGCCGGAA
RNAcentral lists this ribosomal RNA (526 nucleotides) under uncultured archaeon. RNAcentral describes it as "bacterial SSU rRNA". It matches the Rfam family "Archaeal small subunit ribosomal RNA", at positions 399 to 923 of the family's 1478-position model. The record is from RNAcentral.